Molecule: unclassified non-coding RNA, 3242 nt
Filed under: Anthonomus grandis grandis
Lineage: Eukaryota; Metazoa; Arthropoda; Insecta; Coleoptera; Curculionidae
Description: glycogen-binding subunit 76A
Source: RNAcentral
GACGCCUCCUGCGAAUCGCGACGCGCUCCACGAUACUGUCGGUGCUGCCCCCACACGGCCGCAAACGGCUACAGAGUCCGUCCGUGACGACCUUGCAACGCCCUUGCGAACCCUCGUAACUCGCGGUUGUUUUACGUUAUACGCGUUUGUUGGUGUAGUUGGUUUUUUUUGUUGUUGUUUUUCUUGGGAUACCAAGCAGGAUUCUUCUGUUAUCAUUUUUAUCAGAUUAAACCACCACCACCAUGACCUCGGAACAAAACAAAUGCGGACUCACCUCCCUCUUGCCUCUGUCUUGCCGAGACCGCGCAGAAGCUUUCGCCAGAAGCCUCCAGACCCGCCUUAACUCCUUGAGCACUCCGGGAGGGUCUCCCUCGACAGAAGAACACACUUGGCUCGGGACCCACGCCAGUACCACCUUGGCUCUCUCACAACCUUUACACAAUCCAGACAGCUAUUUGGCCUUGGAACAGGUAUUCCAGUCACCAAGCAGUCCACAAGAAGAAGUAGAUUACCAUAAGUUAUUAAAUGGUAGUGCAAUAACAGUGGUUAACGGGUUAAAUAGACACUAUUCCGGUGAUAGUGAUAACGACGUGUUUUAUGAUCUGGAUGAUGAACCGCCGCCCCCUCAUGAGAACGGAGUGGAAUUAAACUCCUUGGGGAGUGAUAACCUUAGUGAUACUUAUGCCACCUCGGAAGAUUGCACUCCGCAGGCCUCGUUAAGUGAGGAACUAUCUACUUUAAGUAUCUGUGAUACAAGUCAGGAACAGAAUGGUGAUGUGUUAACAGAAGUGGAGGGAGAUGAGGAUGAAGUUCGGGAUGAGGAUGUCGACGAUGAAGUAAUUCCAAGGAUCAGAAGGUGUUCUUCGCUCAAAACUGGAAAAACCCCUCCAGACACACCUGGGAGGAAAAAAAUUGUUCGGUUUGCUGAUGUACUUGGAUUGGAUUUGGCAGAUGUGCGUACUUACAUGGAUGAAAUUCCGAAAAUUCCUAAAUCAGCUUAUAACGAUCUAAAUGAUGUUGACCUGCUGGAUGCCCCAGAUAUUUUAAUACCUAAUGGUACUUUAAAAUACCAUAAAACUGAACGAAUCUUGGUGCCAUUGUUCGAGCAACCCUCGAGCCUCCCAGGAUUCUUGGACCUCGUAAGGGAUAACUUGGUCUGCCUGGAAAAUGCUGUAGUAGACGAUCCCGUUUUAUUUCUUAUUAAAGGAACCGUUAGGGUGCGGAACUUAGACUUUCAUAAGUCGGUACACGUGCGGUACUCACUGGACAGUUGGAAAACCUAUGCGGACGUCCAGGCCACGUACGUGGAUAAUUCUUGCGACGGCUUCUCCGACAGGUUCUCAUUUACUUUGUACGCGCACACAUUAACGGUGGGGCAGAAGUUGGAGUUUGCGUGUAGGUUCCAAUGCAAGGGAUGCCAGUACUGGGAUAGUAACAUGGGGCGAAAUUACGUUUUCCAGUGCUUGUCCAGUGCGAGUACGGAUAUGGCGUUACACGGACAUGCGGACUGGGGAGCCAGUUUUUAUUAGUUUUCCGAGCCCUUGAGUGGUCACUUCGUGAGUCUUCCAGGCAUUUAAAUCAGAACGAACCGAUCUCCGGAGAAAAAAGAUUUCUGAUGAGUGGUUCCGACAAGCGUCAAAGCGAAGAGACUAAGUCAGCCAAUGAGGGAGUCCGAUAUGGCAACCUCACAUAACCAGCAAACCUCGAAAUCGAAGACUUGAAAAAAAUUACAAUGAUGAAGGACAUAAAGACGUUAUAGAAAAAAAUAUUUUAGUCCAUUUUACGGCAGCCAAUUUCUUGCUACAAACCUAAAGUGGAAACCAUGAACAUUACUGCCUAUUGAGGUUUUUAGAACAUUAAAAGAAAAUGUUGACAGAGUGGCAACAUUGCAUCGAAGCUUAAUAUGCAGUUACACUCUUUUUUAAAAGUUUGUGCCAGUGUAUACCGCUACGCUGCUGCCACGUUUCUCAAUCAAUUUGCCAACAAUAUCAGAAAUCGUCAUGGUUUCCAUAAUAGUUUUUUUUUACAUAAUUUUAACUCAAAAAGCAAUAUUAUUAAAUUUAUUAUAUAUUUUACGACAUAGUAUUUUUAUAUAAACGAUAGUUAUUUGUAUAUUAAAAAUCACAUUUUUAAACCAAUAGUGUACGGCCUUAUCAAUAGUGUACCGCCAUCUGUAUUCCUGUUGGUCGAAUCAAUAAUUCAGUAUGGCGGCCUAUUUUCUCUCUAUGUUGUAAAUGUUAUGUUAUCGCUGCUGUUCAUUUAGGUUAAGUUUGAUUUAUUGUUACAUAUAUGUUAAAAAUUGUCUUUGGCAAAAAGUUUUACAUAAGAGAUGGUAGCAGAGUGUCGUUUACAACACGUCCCUCUCUUUCUCCUCUUCUUUGGGCGUGGCUUAUAGAAGUAUUGCCACAUUUGCCAUUUUUUAUUGUUAGUACUGUAAUUUGUACAUCGUCAAACGAAAGCUUACAGCUCCUAAAGUCACGAACAUAAAAAAAGAAAAUCGAGUCAAGAACUAAAAGGGUAAGAGCAGUCUUUGAAGUCUAAGAAGAAAAGUCGGCCUCUUCUUUAGACAUAGCUUACAGCGGUAUUACCAUACUUGCUAUUUUUUAUUGUUGGAACUAUAAUUUUAUAUCAAACGAAAACUUAACCAAUCCUAAACCCAAAAUUUUUCAGAGACCAGGCCAAGAGUUAAAAGAGUAGGCAAAGGCAUGUUAAAGAGAUCCUCCUCUUUUUGGGUGUAGUAUUUGACUUUUAAAAUUAUAAUUUUUAUUUUUACACUAAAAGAAAGCUUUUACUUUUGGCUGUGCUUAAGCUAUGCACAAAUAUUAAAAAUAAAAUUGUUUAAAUCAGAAAUUAAAACGGGGGAGGGAGGGCGUAUUUUACCUAAAUUAUAUAUUUUCAAACUUUGACAAUACCGUUAAAAUGAUUUUAUUAAAAAACAUAUCUAUUUAAUUACUGAUAUUUUACUUGGGAUGUGGGUGUCAAUAAUAAGAAAAUCUUCCUCAAUGACAUGUUAAAAACCAAAUGGCGGCAUUAGGUUAUUGGGGAAAAUCCUUGUUUCUAGUCGUUUUUUGACACCCGGUAUAUUGAAAACUAGUGGCUGUGAAAAUGGAACGGUGUGAUGGUAGAUAUUUGAUUUUCGGCGUUUAAUAAAAUUAUUGUUAUUCAUAAGCCUAACAUGAACGGCAAGCCUAUUUAGAUCAAACAAAUGUACUCAUUAUGUAAAAUAAAUCUUUUAUCUUUUA